UUCCGGUUGAUCCUGCCGGAACCCCACUGCUAUCGGGAUAGGACUAAGACAUGCUAGUCAAGCGCUUUCUAGCUAAUGAGAAAGCGCGGCGUACAGCUCAGUAACACGUGGCUAACCUGCCCUUGGGACGGGAAUACCCCCGGGAAACUGGGGCUAAAUCCCGAUAGGUGAAAAAUUCUGGAAUGAAUUUUCGCCCUAAAAAACGUUUAUGUCAUGCUCAUAUGCGUUGCCCAAGGAUGGGGCCGCGUCCGAUCAGGUAGUUGGUGAGGUAAUGGCUCACCAAGCCUUUUACCGGUGCGGGCCGUGAGAGCGGGAGCCCGGAGAUGGGCACUGAGACAAGGGCCCAGGCCCUACGGGGCGCAGCAGUCGCGAAAACUUUGCAAUACACGAAAGUGUGACAAGGCUAUCCCGAGUGCCAUCCGCUGAGGAAGGCUUUUACCCAGUAUAAAUAGCUGGGAGAAUAAGGAGAGGGCAAGUCUGGUGUCAGCCGCCGCGGUAAUACCAGCUCUCCGAGUAGUGUGGAUGUUUAUUGGGCCUAAAGCAUCCGUAGCUUGCUAAACAAGUCCCCUGUUAAAUCCACCGAUUUAAUCGUUGGAUUGCGGGGGAUACUGUUUGGCUAGGGGACGGGAGAGGCCGACGGUAUUUCCGGGGUAGGGGUGAAAUCCUAUAAUCCCGGGAAGACCACCAGUGGCGAAGGCUGUCGGCUAGAACGCGCCCGACGGUGAGGGACGAAAGCUGGGGGAGCGAACCGGAUUAGAUACCCGGGUAGUCCCAGCUGUAAACGAUGCAGGCUAGGUGUUUGGGCGGGCCAAGAGCCGCUCUAGUGCCGCAGGGAAGCUGUUAAGCCUGCCGCCUGGGGAGUACGGCCGCAAGGCUGAAACUUAAAGGAAUUGGCSGGGGAGCACCACAAGGGGUGAAGCUUGCGGUUUAAUUGGAUUCAACGCCGGAA
RNAcentral lists this ribosomal RNA (949 nucleotides) under uncultured archaeon. RNAcentral describes it as "bacterial SSU rRNA". It matches the Rfam family "Archaeal small subunit ribosomal RNA", at positions 1 to 923 of the family's 1478-position model. The record is from RNAcentral.